GAUGAACGCUGGCGGCGUGCCUAAUACAUGCAAGUCGAGCGAACAGCCCAGGCGCUUGCACCUCUCACGUUAGCGGCGCACGGGGGAGUAACACGUUGCCAACCUCCCUAUAAGACUGGGAUGACUUCUGGAAACCUGCGCCAAUAUCGGAUAAUAUAUUGUCACUCAUGGUUUAAUACUGAAAUACGGUUAUGCUGGCACUUAUCGUUUUAUCGGCUACGCGUUAGCUCGUCGGUACGGUAACGGCUUACCAAGGCAACGAUGCGUAGCCGACCUGAAAGGGUGAGCGGACACACUGGAAUUGAAACACGGUCGAGACUCCUACGGGAGGCAGCGGUAGGGAAUGGUCUGCAAUGGACGAAAGCCUGACGGAGCAACGCCGCGUGAGGGAUGAAAGGCUUCGGAUCGUAAAACUCUGUUAUUAGGAAAGAACAAAUGUGUAAGUAACUAUGCACGUCUUGACGGUACCUAAUCAGAAAGCAACGGCUAACUACGUG
RNAcentral lists this ribosomal RNA (497 nucleotides) under uncultured bacterium. RNAcentral describes it as "partial 16S ribosomal RNA". It matches the Rfam family "Bacterial small subunit ribosomal RNA", at positions 28 to 507 of the family's 1533-position model. The record is from RNAcentral.